This 274-nucleotide ribosomal RNA is filed under the name uncultured bacterium. Its description in RNAcentral is "partial 16S ribosomal RNA". It matches the Rfam family "Bacterial small subunit ribosomal RNA", at positions 523 to 796 of the family's 1533-position model. The record is from RNAcentral.
AUACGGAGGGUCCGAGCGUUAAUCGGAAUUACUGGGCGUAAAGCGUACGUAGGUGGCUUGAUUAGUCGGAUGUGAAAGCCCUGGGCUCAACCUGGGAACUGCAUUCGAUACUGUCAGGCUAGAGUAUAGUAGAGGGAAGUGGAAUUCCGGGUGUAGCGGUGAAAUGCGUAGAUAUCCGGAGGAACACCAGUGGCGAAGGCGGCUUCCUGGACUAAUACUGACGCUGAGGUGCGAAAGCGUGGGUAGCAAACAGGAUUAGAAACCCCGGUAGUCC